RNAcentral lists this ribosomal RNA (329 nucleotides) under Gymnodinium sp. RNAcentral describes it as "24S ribosomal RNA". It matches the Rfam family "Eukaryotic large subunit ribosomal RNA", at positions 2281 to 2612 of the family's 3401-position model. Lineage: Eukaryota; Dinophyceae; Gymnodiniales; Gymnodiniaceae. The record is from RNAcentral.
AGCCAAAUGCCUCGUCAUCUAAUUAGUGACGCGCAUGAAUGCAUUAACGAGAUUCCCCACUGUCCCUAUCUAAUAUCUAGCGAAACCACGGCCAAGGGAACGGGCUUGGGAUAAUCAGCGGGGAAAGAAGACCCUGUUGAGCUUGACUCUAAUCCGACUUUGCGAAAUGACUUAGGAGGUGUAGCAUAAGGGAGCUUUGGCGAUCUUGAAAUACCACCACUCUUAAUGCCAUUUUAUUUAUUCCGUUGAACUGAAGCUUGCGUCACAAUGAGUUUUGGAUUUAAAGUUGUCUCUUCUGGCGGCUGAUCCGUGCGGAAGACAUAGGCAGG